AGUGAACGCUGGCGGUAGGCCUAACACAUGCAAGUCGAACGGCAGCACAGGAGAGCUUGCUCUCUGGGUGGCGAGUGGCGGACGGGUGAGGGAUACAUCGGAAUCUACUCUGUCGUGGGGGAUAACGUAGGGAAACUUACGCUAAUACCGCAUACGACCUACGGGUGAAAGCAGGGGACCUUCGGGCCUUGCGCGAUUGAAUGAGCCGAUGUCGGAUUAGCUAGUUGGCGGGGUAAAGGCCCACCAAGGCGACGAUCCGUAGCUGGUCUGAGAGGAUGAUCAGCCACACUGGAACUGAGACACGGUCCAGACUCCUACGGGAGGCAGCAGUGGGGAAUAUUGGACAAUGGGCGCAAGCCUGAUCCAGCCAUACCGCGUGGGUGAAGAAGGCCUUCGGGUUGUAAAGCCCUUUUGUUGGGAAAGAAAUCCAGCUGGCUAAUACCCGGUUGGGAUGACGGUACCCAAAGAAUAAGCACCGGCUAACUUCGUGCCAGCCGCCGCCGUAC
This 506-nucleotide ribosomal RNA is filed under the name uncultured bacterium. Its description in RNAcentral is "partial 16S ribosomal RNA". It matches the Rfam family "Bacterial small subunit ribosomal RNA", at positions 29 to 523 of the family's 1533-position model. The record is from RNAcentral.